Molecule: ribosomal RNA, 777 nt
Filed under: uncultured Neocallimastigales
Lineage: Eukaryota; Fungi; Neocallimastigomycota; Neocallimastigomycetes; Neocallimastigales
Description: partial large subunit ribosomal RNA
Rfam family: Eukaryotic large subunit ribosomal RNA
Source: RNAcentral
AGAGAGAGACAUGCGCGCAUAUCAAUAAGCGGAGGAAAAGAAACUAACAAGGAUUCCCUUAGUAACGGCGAGUGAAGCGGGAAGAGCUCAAAUUUGAAAUCUUCAAGGUUCUACCUUGACGAAUUGUAGUUUAUAGAAGUGUUUUCUGUUAGUGGAGUGGCAAAAGUUCUUUGGAAUAGGACAUCAUAGAGGGUGAGGAUCCCGUAUUUGGUCAUUCCUCCUAGCGUUGUGAUACACUUUCAACGAGUCGGAUUGUUUGGGAAUGCAGUCCAAAAUGGGUGGUAAAUUUCAUCUAAAGCUAAAUAUUGGCGAGAGACCGAUAGCGAACAAGUACCGUGAGGGAAAGAUGAAAAGAACUUUGAAAAGAGAGUUAAACAGUACGUGAAAUUGUCAAAAGGGAAGCGUUUGACACCAGUGUUGUUUUUCCGAAAAUCAAUUACGAAUGUUUUGUUUUUGAGGAGUUAUGACUUCAUCGGCUUGCUCCUUUCUUUACGGAAACUUUCUUAAUGCACUUUUCGGUUAACAAGUCAACAUCAAUUUCUUUUGUUGUAAAAGGGUAUGAGGAAGGUGGCUUUCUUUUCGGAGAAAGUGUUUAUAGCCUUGUGCCUCUGCAAUCGGAGAGAUUGAGGUCUGCAGCGUAGAUCCUUCGGGGUUAGAUACAUUUCGUGCUAAGUUAUAGCUUUUCAUAGACAACUUGUUGACUAUGUUUAGUCUUGUAGCUUACUCGCUUACUGCUAUUUUACCUACGCUUAGGAUGUUGAUAGUCACAGCGUGUAC